This 138-nucleotide ribosomal RNA is filed under the name uncultured bacterium. Its description in RNAcentral is "partial 16S ribosomal RNA". It matches the Rfam family "Bacterial small subunit ribosomal RNA", at positions 355 to 509 of the family's 1533-position model. The record is from RNAcentral.
UGGGGAAUAUUGCACAAUGGGGGAAACCCUGAUGCAGCGACGCCGCGUGAAGGAAGAAGUAUUCUCGGUAUGUAAACUUCUAUCAGCAGGGAAGAAAAUGACGGUACCUGACUAAGAAGCCCCGGCUAACUACGUGCC